Molecule: unclassified non-coding RNA, 773 nt
Filed under: Hevea brasiliensis (rubber tree)
Lineage: Eukaryota; Viridiplantae; Streptophyta; Magnoliopsida; Malpighiales; Euphorbiaceae
Source: RNAcentral
AAAAAAACAUUGUUGUUAUGUUGUCUCAAGAAGGUGUGGGAUUCGAUGCCAUCCCACGCCUGGGGCAUGCAUAUCACUUCCUACAAAAUCCCCUAUGCCCAGACUUGCUAGAACUUGUUCUUCCCCCCCUUUUUCACGCCAACAUGCUUCUAUUGUUGUUUGAUUUGUUUCUUCACCCUAAAAAUGCCUCACAUCAUAAUCCUCCACUUGAGAAAAACCUGUCCUUGAGUAUAAAAAGGUUGCAACAAACCCAAACAAGGCCAUAACAACUUCUACACCAUUCUCCCUCACUUGGAAUAAACCCUCCCUCUAAUUUUGAAGCAGAAGAGAAUGCAAAUCUUUGUUAGAGAAGUACACCAUAUUACUUUCUUUAUUGAGGUGGUUAAGGGAGAAUUGAACAAAAUUGAAUUAAUUAACUUUUUCUUUGCCUAUGUCUUUCCAAAAACACCUGGACUAAUAAAAUCAAUGGAAACAAUUGAAUGUUAAGGGAGAAUUGAACAAAAUUGAAUUAAUUAACUUUUUCUUUGCCUAUGUCUUUCCAAAAACACCUGGACUAAUAAAAUCAAUGGAAACAAUUGAAUGUAAAGGGUUAAUUAAUUUUUUAUUUGGAACCACCAUGGUUUAAGGCUGUGAGAAAAGAAGCGAGAAGCAUGGUUUCAAAUUACAGUUGCGUUCGCGAUCGCGGUUGCGGAUAGUGAAAACAGGCCUAUAACGGUCAUAAUGUAACGGUGAUGGUAAUGGCCUGAAGCUAUGUAAAUUUUUUUGAAAAAUUU